Molecule: unclassified non-coding RNA, 83 nt
Filed under: Treponema berlinense
Lineage: Bacteria; Pseudomonadati; Spirochaetota; Spirochaetia; Treponematales; Treponemataceae
Description: Flavo-1 RNA
Source: RNAcentral
UCUUAGCCCAGACUGUAGCCCCGUAGUCUCAGGCUUUUAGCCUGAGAUGGAGCUAUGCGGAAGGGCGAAAGGCUGGAGGAGUG